RNAcentral lists this transfer RNA (159 nucleotides) under Candidozyma auris. Its description in RNAcentral is "[Candida] auris tRNA-His". The record is from RNAcentral. Lineage: Eukaryota; Fungi; Ascomycota; Pichiomycetes; Serinales; Metschnikowiaceae.
AUGCUAUUGAAGUUUACGGCAAACAAAAAUAAGAAACUGUGGCAAAAAAGCCUGCCGGCCCCAGGAAUCGAACCUGGGUUUGUUCGGCCACAACGAACUGUACUAACCACUAUACUAGACCGGCCGUAUAUGCAAAAAGGGGUCUUGGACAAUAUAUAA